RNAcentral lists this ribosomal RNA (1343 nucleotides) under uncultured bacterium. Its description in RNAcentral is "16S ribosomal RNA". It matches the Rfam family "Bacterial small subunit ribosomal RNA", at positions 28 to 1378 of the family's 1533-position model. The record is from RNAcentral.
GACGAACGCUGGCGGCGUGCUUAACACAUGCAAGUCGAACGGAAAGGCCCUGCUUUUGUGGGGUGCUCGAGUGGCGAACGGGUGAGUAACACGUGAGUAACCUGCCCUUGACUUUGGGAUAACUUCAGGAAACUGGGGCUAAUACCGGAUAGGAGCUCCUGCUGCAUGGUGGGGGUUGGAAAGUUUCGGCGGUUGGGGAUGGACUCGCGGCUUAUCAGCUUGUUGGUGGGGUAGUGGCUUACCAAGGCUUUGACGGGUAGCCGGCUUGAGAGGGUGACCGGCCACAUUGGGACUGAGAUACGGCCCAGACUCCUACGGGAGGCAGCAGUGGGGAAUAUUGCACAAUGGGCGGAAGCCUGAUGCAGCAACGCCGCGUGCGGGAUGACGGCCUUCGGGUUGUAAACCGCUUUCGCCUGUGACGAAGCGUGAGUGACGGUAAUGGGUAAAGAAGCACCGGCUAACUACGUGCCAGCAGCCGCGGUGAUACGUAGGGUGCGAGCGUUGUCCGGAUUUAUUGGGCGUAAAGGGCUCGUAGGUGGUUGAUCGCGUCGGAAGUGUAAUCUUGGGGCUUAACCCUGAGCGUGCUUUCGAUACGGGUUGACUUGAGGAAGGUAGGGGAGAAUGGAAUUCCUGGUGGAGCGGUGGAAUGCGCAGAUAUCAGGAGGAACACCAGUGGCGAAGGCGGUUCUCUGGGCCUUUCCUGACGCUGAGGAGCGAAAGCGUGGGGAGCGAACAGGCUUAGAUACCCUGGUAGUCCACGCUGUAAACGGUGGGUACUAGGUGUGGGGUCCAUUCCACGGGUUCCGUGCCGUAGCUAACGCUUUAAGUACCCCGCCUGGGGAGUACGGCCGCAAGGCUAAAACUCAAAGGAAUUGACGGGGCCCCGCACAAGCGGCGGAGCAUGCGGAUUAAUUCGAUGCAACGCGUAGAACCUUACCUGGGUUUGACAUGGAUCGGGAGUGCUCAGAGAUGGGUGUGCCUCUUUUGGGGUCGGUUCACAGGUGGUGCAUGGCUGUCGUCAGCUCGUGUCGUGAGAUGUUGGGUUAAGUCCCGCAACGAGCGCAACCCUUGUUCACUGUUGCCAGCACGUUAUGGUGGGGACUCAGUGGAGACCGCCGGGGUCAACUCGGAGGAAGGUGGGGAUGACGUCAAGCCAUCAUGCCCCUUAUGUCCAGGGCUUCACGCAUGCUACAAUGGCUGGUACAGAGAGUGGCGAGCCUGUGAGGGUGAGCGAAUCUCGGAAAGCCGGUCUCAGUUCGGAUUGGGGUCUGCAACUCGACCUCAUGAAGUCGGAGUCGCUAGUAAUCGCAGAUCAGCAACGCUGCGGUGAAUACGUUCCCGGG